RNAcentral lists this ribosomal RNA (260 nucleotides) under uncultured bacterium. Its description in RNAcentral is "partial 16S ribosomal RNA". It matches the Rfam family "Bacterial small subunit ribosomal RNA", at positions 92 to 354 of the family's 1533-position model. The record is from RNAcentral.
UGAGUGGCGACGGGUGAGUAACGCGUGGGCAACCUGCCCUGUACAGGGGGACAACACUUAGAAAUAGGUGCUAAUACCGCAUAACGGGGGGAGCCGCAUGGCACCCCCCUGAAAACUCCGGUGGUACAGGAUGGGCCCGCGUCUGAUUAGCUGGUUGGCAGGGUAACGGCCUACCAAGGCGACGAUCAGUAGCCGGCCUGAGAGGGCGGACGGCCACACUGGGACUGAGACACGGCCCAGACUCCUACGGAAGGCAGCAG